UGGAGUUGCACCUUUUCUCUUAUGUUUAAGAGUUCCAGGUCAUGGUGAUAUUUAAGAAAGAACUCAGCCAAAACACAGAAGAAUUGAAGGCCAGUCAUCAGAGGGGAAGAAUAUAGCCUGACAAGUCUACAGAGUAAAUAAGGUUGUAGAGAUGUGUCACUUCAUUUCAAUUAAACAUCUAUGCAUUCUCACCCACUUGUGUUCUGCGGCUUUGCUGUGAAGUUCCAUUCAAGUAGAAGAAUAUUUGAUGUUGGAAGAGGUCUCUGGAGAUCAUCUCAUCCAACAUCCCUGCUCAGGGGAGGGUAAACUGGAGCAGGUUGCCCAGGAUCCUGUUCAGUGGGUUUGUAAUAUCUCCAAGGAUGAGGAGAGUUCUCUUGUUUAGGUGUCCUGUUCCAGUGAUCAGUCACUCUUACAUAAAGGUUUCUUAUGUUUAAAUGAUAUUUGCUGUAUUUUGGACAUUGCUGUAUUUGAAGGACACUGCCUGUCUUUUUUCACUAGACACCAUGGAGAAGAGUCUGGCUCUGUCCUUUGCUCCUCUCAUCCAUUUAUAAAAACAGCCUUGACCACGUCGCUCCAACUGUUCCCAUAGCUCCCAUUGCUGAUAUUCUAACAUGAUGCAGCCAUAAACUGGAUCUUUCUUUUCUUUUUAUGUACUUUUUAAUUAUCUAAAGGCUAAACUUUUGACUGCCACUUCUCAUUUGCACGCUGGAUUUGGGGUUAGAAAACAAGUUUGCUUAUUUAAUAUUUGCUUUGAUUUGGUGAUUAGUCUUUGCUCUUAAUUAUUUUUACCAUUUCCACAUGAGUGAUCAGGAAAUUAACAGCUGUCUCACACUUCCAGCAAGUUAAAAACAGCCUAUCGUAUUUCCUUAUUGACGUCUUCCUUGCCCCCGUGCAGAAUGUUUUAAGAUGCUGCUUCUCUUGAGUUUCCCACCUCACAGCUUGAGUAAUGCCACAGCUUUUAAAAAUGUUUCCCUUUUGACUUGCCAAGGCGAUGAAGACAAGUAAAGUCAUCCAGCAUAAAAGGUAUAUGUGAACAAAACAUGAAUGGAAGGUGUGGGUCAAGUUACAAUCCAAACAAGAAGAAUAUUAGAAGCAGUUUUGGAGACUGAGGAGACCAGUCCUGUGGCACACAUCUGCAGUGAGAAAUACUGCCAUCCUGGGAUCCUGUGUGGUGUUUACACACUCAUAGCAAAUCCUCUUUAAAAAGUAAAAAUAAAUGAAUUGCUGCUCCUUUUUCCACUGAUGUUUUCCUUUUAUCUUUUCAUUCCUUUUCAAAUUGGUAAUGAUUGUAAAUCGCUCCUUGCCACAGAAAGUGCUUUUUUUCCAAGAGCAGUUAUUUGAUUCCUGUAAUCUUAUUUAUUAGUU
This is a long non-coding RNA of Melospiza georgiana, 1365 nucleotides long. RefSeq lists it as uncharacterized. NCBI's taxonomy places the organism in Eukaryota, Metazoa, Chordata, Aves, Passeriformes, Passerellidae. The record is from RefSeq and is a predicted model, not a curated record. The transcript is spliced from 3 exons.